AAUUCUCCUCCCUCAACCUCCCGAGUAGCUGGGAUUACAGGAUUUAGCACACAAAUGUCCAUAGAGCAUUUGCAAACAAGCAAUGAGAGCAGAGGUAUCCGGUGUAUCCCAACCACCCUCCUGCGGAUCCCCACGCCUCCCCUGCGCAUCCCAUGCGGGCAGCAGCACACAGGAGACCACAGGCUAAGCCUGAACCACAGGCAGACUCACCAGGCACGCCCCAUGGCCUGUGCUCAUGCCCUCAGGUGGUGACGAAAGGACCUGGGGCCGCCCAGGAGGACUGGACGCUGAGGAGCAGUGGGCGUCCAGUGUAAGAGACUUGUGCACGCGGGGACAGCAGGAGAGGUGGGCUGGCCAGGAUCAGGAGGCAGCUGCCUCAGCAGAGAGGAAGAGGGUCAGCAGAAGAUCUCUUCACCCUCUGCUGAUACUUCUGACGCGGGACCAUCUGGAAAUGUGAAAACCAAGAAUGAAAAAAAUUCAGAAAAACUGCUCCUUUCAUUGAACUUCCUCCCCAUCCCAAAGUCUUCUGUAAUGCAAACAGGCGACUGGGGCUUAUGGGCAAUUAACUCUUCUGCGCACCGGGGUUUCUGAACAAAUUUGGUUAAUAAGGUUCUUAAGUGAUAUCCUUCACUGCCUAAUGCUCCCUUUAACUUUUAAAUAAUCACUAGAAUUUAUGAAGAGGCCAGGAAAAUGUACUUUUUCUUUAACCUCCCACACAGAAAGGAGAGAUCAAUCCUAAAGAGAAGGAUUCAGGGGAAAAAGUGGUACAUGAACAGGGAGGCAUUUAGUGGAAUUCAGCCGCAGGCUCUGUGGCCGCUGGCACAUUAGUUAGCCUCUGUGAGCCUCAGUUUCCUCACUUCUCUUGGGGUUAGCAGUGCCAACUUCAUACAGUCAUUUGAGGGUUAAAUCACCAAAUGCUAGCUGUUACCAAUGACUACUCUAGGCCCAGAAAGGCAAGGAGGACUUGAAUUACUUCAUUGAGGGGUGAGCUCCAGUUCCUCGAUCGGAUAAUGCCUUGAAAAUGAAACCCAUGCUCUCUGCUUCUGCACACGUGCCACACAGAGUGGGUUCUUAAUGUUCGCUGCAUGAGUGCUCUUAGCAAGCGGAGCUGGUGAAAAGGAUGGCAGUUUGGCUUUUGAGCAUCUGAACUGUCCCCUUUUCAACCCCGCCCCAUGCCACUAAAAUCUACCCUCUCUCAGAAUGCACAGACACUAUGGCCACAGGGAGAGCAGGUGUGCGUGACUCACCACCGGGCUGAGAGCGGCUGGUUUUGUUCUUCUUUUUUUUCUCCUUCUUUUCCUUUGGCUUUGUUAACCCAAACAGGCGGGUAGAGGCAGAGGUGGACGCAGGGGCCUGGCUCUGCCCUUCUGGUCCUUUGUUUGUCUGGCUGGUUGAACUCAGUAUGUGAAAAGGCCCCUUAUCUUUGUGUGUCCGAGAGAUGCUGUUCCUUUUUGGGGACACUGAAAGUUCUGAGUCCAAUGACCCUGAUUUGGCUAUGGAAGGUGCAGAUGGCGAGGGGGGCUCCUCAGGACUGGGGAAGAACGAUGGGAUCCUCAUCAGCUUGGUAUGUGGAUGGGAAACCUGUACAUAUUCAAGAGAAGGGUUUUCACUUGGAGGCUGUCAGCGUCCGUGAUGCCAACUCAAUAAAUCCUGGCUGAAUUCA
This 1663-nucleotide long non-coding RNA is filed under the name Homo sapiens (human). RNAcentral describes it as "HSALNT0382752". The record is from RNAcentral. Lineage: Eukaryota; Metazoa; Chordata; Mammalia; Primates; Hominidae.